AUUCCCCUAGUAACUGCGAGUGAAGCGGGAAAAGCUCAAAUUUAAAAUCUGGCGGUUCGCACCGUCCGAGUUGUAAUUUAGAGAAGCGUUUUCCGCGCCGGACCGUGUACAAGUCUCCUGGAACGGAGCGUCAUAGAGGGUGAGAAUCCCGUCUUUGACACGGACGCCCGGUGCUAUGUGAUACGCUCUCGAAGAGUCGAGUUGUUUGGGAAUGCAGCUCAAAAUGGGUGGUGAACUCCAUCUAAAGCUAAAUAUUGGCGAGAGACCGAUAGCGAACAAGUACCGUGAGGGAAAGAUGAAAAGCACUUUGGAAAGAGAGUGAAACAGUACGUGAAAUUGCUGAAAGGGAAACGCUUGAAGUCAGUCGCGUCCUCCGGAAUUCAGCCUUUUGGGUGUACUUUCCGGUGGGACGGGCCAGCAUCACUUUUGACCGCCGGAGAAGGGUGGAAGGAAUGUGGCACCUUCGGGUGUGUUAUAGCCCUUUUCCGUAUACGACCGUCGGGAAAUAAGGACCGCCUUUUUGUAGGAUGCUGGCGUAAUGGCUUUAAACGACCCGUCUUGAAACACGGACCAAGGAGUCUAACAUGCCCGCGAGUGUUCGGGUGGAAAACCCGUGCGCGUAAUGAAAGUGAAAGUUGGGAAGGCUGUCGCGGCCUGCACCGACGCCCGGACCUGAGAUUCAUCGACGGUUCUGCGGUAGAGCGUGUAUGUUGGGACCCGAAAGAUGGUGAACUAUGCCUGAAUAGGGUGAAGCCAGAGGAAACUCUGGUGGAGGCUCGUAGCGAUUCUGACGUGCAAAUCGAUCGUCAAAUUUGGGUAUAGGGGCGAAAGACUAAUCGAACCAU
This 845-nucleotide ribosomal RNA is filed under the name Vararia sp. CFMR HHB70. RNAcentral describes it as "eukaryotic LSU rRNA". It matches the Rfam family "Eukaryotic large subunit ribosomal RNA", at positions 74 to 943 of the family's 3401-position model. Lineage: Eukaryota; Fungi; Basidiomycota; Agaricomycetes; Russulales; Lachnocladiaceae. The record is from RNAcentral.